CCCUUAGAUGUUCUGGGCUGCACGCGUGCUACACUGAUUAUUUCAACAAGUGUUUUAACUGGAGAGUUCGCGUAAUCCUGAAAUGUUAUCGUGAUGGGAGUAGAGUAUUGUAUUUGUUAAUCUUUAACGAGGAAUUCCUAGCAAGUGUAGGUUUAUAAGUUGUUCUGAUUACGUCCCUGCCCUUUGUACACACCGCCCGUCGCUCCUACCGAUUGAGUGUUCCGGUGAAUAAUUCGGACUGCAGCAGCGUGGGGACUCCUCAUGCUGCAGCGGAAAGUUUGGUGAACCUUAACACUUAGAGGAAGGAGAAGUCGUAACA
RNAcentral lists this ribosomal RNA (319 nucleotides) under uncultured eukaryote. RNAcentral's name for it is "partial 18S ribosomal RNA". It matches the Rfam family "Eukaryotic small subunit ribosomal RNA", at positions 1470 to 1796 of the family's 1831-position model. The record is from RNAcentral.